AAUCAACGCUGGCGGCGUGCCUAACACAUGCAAGUCGAACGAGAAAGUGGAGCAAUCCAUGAGUAAAGUGGCGUACGGGUGAGUAACACGUGACUAACCUACCCUUGAGUGGGGAAUAACUUCGGGAAACCGAGGCUAAUACCGCAUAACACCUUCGGGUCAAAGGAGCAAUUCGCUUAAGGAGGGGGUCGCGGCUGAUUAGCUAGUUGGUAGGGUAAUGGCCUACCAAGGCGAUGAUCAGUAUCCGGCCUGAGAGGGCGCACGGACACACUGGAACUGAAACACGGUCCAGACUCCUACGGGUGGCUG
Molecule: ribosomal RNA, 309 nt
Filed under: uncultured Acidobacteriota bacterium
Lineage: Bacteria; Pseudomonadati; Acidobacteriota
Description: bacterial SSU rRNA
Rfam family: Bacterial small subunit ribosomal RNA
Source: RNAcentral